CUCUGAUAAUAUCAGCCCCACUACUUAAAAAGAUGGAGACAGGAGAAGCGGGUUCCGCUAUGGGUGCGGUGAGGUCCACUUCCUCCAGGUUCCCGAUUCGGGCUCCAUCGACUCUCCAAUGCUGCAGGCAAUUGAGAAAAAGAUUAAGGAACAACCGGAUGCAGAUGUUGUCAUCAUCAAGGAUGCCUUUGGAGAUGGUCGACUUGUAAGGUCAGCUUGUCACUCUUUGAGAUGUUUGAAUUGGGCUGAGGCAAUGGAGAGCUAUUCAGAAUUAUGGGCAAGUCUUGUUGGUUAUUAUGUUAUUGUUGUAUAAGUAUAUUUUGUAUGUAAUGAAAUGUUGUCGAUGAACCGAAAUGGAUAUACCUUGUAAAAGUGUUAGAAGAUCUCUCUUAUUUGGAAUUUCGGAAUGUUAAGUCUAGUUUAUGAUAAUAUGAACUUGUGGUAAAUGGUUGGAGUUAUGAUUGUAUAAAUUAUAUAGCUUAUGGAUUUAUAAAUGUUGUUCAUGUUUGCUAA
Long non-coding RNA from Musa acuminata AAA Group (dessert banana), 513 nucleotides. RefSeq lists it as uncharacterized. The record is from RefSeq and is a predicted model, not a curated record. Lineage: Eukaryota; Viridiplantae; Streptophyta; Magnoliopsida; Zingiberales; Musaceae. The transcript is spliced from 3 exons.